UACGUAGGGAGCAAGCGUUGUUCGGAAUUACUGGGCGUAAAGGGCGCGUAGGCGGCCUGCUAAGUCGGACGUGAAAUCCCUCGGCUCAACCGAGGAACUGCGUCCGAUACUGGUGGGCUUGAGUCCGGGAGAGGGAUGUGGAAUUCCAGGUGUAGCGGUGAAAUGCGUAGAUAUCUGGAGGAACACCGGUGGCGAAGGCGGCAUCCUGGACCGGUAUUGACGCUGAGGCGCGAAAGCUAGGGGAGCAAACGGG
RNAcentral lists this ribosomal RNA (253 nucleotides) under uncultured bacterium. Its description in RNAcentral is "partial 16S ribosomal RNA". It matches the Rfam family "Bacterial small subunit ribosomal RNA", at positions 524 to 776 of the family's 1533-position model. The record is from RNAcentral.